Molecule: ribosomal RNA, 637 nt
Filed under: uncultured cyanobacterium
Lineage: Bacteria; Bacillati; Cyanobacteriota
Description: bacterial SSU rRNA
Rfam family: Bacterial small subunit ribosomal RNA
Source: RNAcentral
UAACACAUGCAAGUACGUACGAGUAGCUUUAGUAACUCAAGUGGCGGACGGGUGAGUAACACGUGAGAAUUUACCUUUAGGAGGGGGAUAACAAUUGGAAACGAUUGCUAAUACCCCAUAUGCUUUCGAGUGAAAUAGAGUUAUCUGCCUAAAGAGAAGCUCGCGGCUGAUUAGCUUGUUGGUAAGGUAAUGGCUUACCAAUGCGACGAUCAGUAUCUGGUUUGAGAGGACGAUCAGACACAUUGGAACUGAGACACGGUCCAGACUCCUACGGGAGGCAGCAGUGGGGAAUUUUCCGCAAUGGGCGAAAGCCUGACGGAGCAAUACCGCGUGAGGGAAGACGGCCCAUGGGUUGUAAACCUCUUUUUUCAGUGAGGAAACAAAUGACGUGUAGCUGAAGAAUAAGCAUCGGCCUAACUCCGUGCCAGCAGCCGCGGUAAGACGGAGGAUGCAAGUGUUAUCCGGAAUCACUGGGCGUAAAGCGUCUGUAGGUGGUUUAAUAAGUCAACUGUUAAAUCUUGAGGCUUAACUUCAAAAUCGCAGUCGAAACUAUUAGACUAGAGUAUAGUAGGGGUAAAGGGAAUUUCCAGUGGAGCGGUGAAAUGCGUAGAUAUUGGAAAGAACACCGAUGGCGAAG